RNAcentral lists this transfer RNA (82 nucleotides) under bacterium. RNAcentral's name for it is "tRNA-Ser". It matches the Rfam family "tRNA". Rfam says of the family: Transfer RNA (tRNA) molecules are approximately 80 nucleotides in length. Their secondary structure includes four short double-helical elements and three loops (D, anti-codon, and T loops). The record is from RNAcentral. RNAcentral also lists the same sequence under 2 other names.
GGAGGGCUCGCCUAACGGUAUGGCAGCGGAUUUGAAAUCCGCCGGGCUCGCGCCCUUGGGGGUUCGAUUCCCUCGCCCUCCG